GAAAGAGAGGGACGAAUCAUGAGCCCUGGAGUGAAUGGAUCCUGUGUUUCUAUUUUGUAUACUUUGUUGAACUGUUUCUGAAUAAAUGCUGAAAUAAAGCCCGAAAAACAAACACACACACACACACACACUCCUCACUGCCCACUUAAAAAAAACAACAACAACUGGAAGGUCCUUUGUAACACGAUAAGGUCGUCAUAUAAGUGUAGAAGAUAGAGUAGGUACCAGAAACUAAAUUUUCAAAGUAGCUGUAUGCCAAAUGUAUCUGUUCCAUUUGAAAGGCCUAUAUCCACUGAGCAUUCUGGUACCAUUCUAUAACAUCUCACUCUCAGUCAAUUUUUAAGAAAACGGUUGUUGUUUAAAAUUUGAUCAAAUUUGUUAAAAUUUAAAGUCAGUGACUGGCUGCAAACCCAUGUUUGACAGACAAUAAAAGAUUACCAAGUGCGCUAAACAUCUCUACAUUAACAGAGUACAAUCCCUAUAACAAAUACAUGUACAUGUAUGGACCCUAAUUUUUUUCAAGACUGUGAGUAGGCAGUUCAGUGAACGAGAUUGGCUCGCUGCGAAAUCGGAUCCUCGCCGCCCGUAGAAAACUGUGAGCGGCGGAUUGCGUUGGCGAUUUGGUGAUUUUUGUUUCAUUAAAUAGUAAUAACCACUACUUCUGAUACAUGUUUUUGAAUAUUUUUAAAUCAUCUACAAAAUGGCGUCUUCCUUUGGCAGAUCGGACUCGUUGAGACAGAGGUGGUGUUUCUUUCGACCACUGUCUGUCAAGCUCCACACAUUCAGCAUUACAGCAAUCCCUUAUUUAUGAAGAAGAACCUUGGAGUCAGCUCAAAGUUUCAAAUUUAAGUGAGUGGAGAAAGGUUGAAUGUGUCUCAGAAGAAACCACUUCUUCUGUUAUCCGCAAACCAGAAGAAGCCUUUGAUUUCCGUAAUGGCAAAGUGUUUGAUAAAGAAAUGUGCAACAACAACAAUAGUGUUAAUGAUGGUUGUGGCCAGAAGCCAAAAGAUUGCUCUUCAGCUGUAAAGAUGAAAAUGGUGAAUUCCAGUAUGGAAAUAAAUCCUGUGUGUCAUAGUUCUUGCUCUCGGUCGUCUGGUGUUACAGCACCAAAGCUGCACGCACAGACUCACACCGGACAAGAUAGUGGCGCUCAUCGUGUUGGAUUCAAAUUUGUGAGUGGCAGAAUAAAACAAGGGCGGGAGAAAAGCCUUGCAAAUUUGAAGUUUGCGGUUCAAGGUUUGCAAAAAGAGUGACCAGCUAAAGUGUCGCAGGAGAACACAAAAUUAUGUUAGAAAAGCCUUACAAGUUCAAGUGUAUAAUCUGUGGAGUUGUGCUGAAAUAUUUGGAUUGCCUAAAGACUCACGAAAGAACUGACACUGGAUAAAAGCCUUACAAGUGUGAAGUUUGUGGUUCUGGGUUUACACAAGCUAGCAUGCUAAAGAUUCACCAGAGAAAACACACUGGAGAACAGCCUUACACGUGUGAAAUUCUGAAACGGCAUAGAAAAAUACACACAGGAGAAAAACCUCACAAUAAAUGGGAAAACUGUGGAGUUGGGUUCAUACAAAAGAACAGUCUACAGGCUCACAAAAGAUUACACACUGGAGAAAAGCCUUUCAAGUCUGAAAUUUGUGAUUCACAAUUUGCUAGGAGUGACUAUCUUAAGGCUUACAAAAGAACACACAAUGGAGAAAAGCCUUACAAGUGUGAAGUUUAUGGUGCAACGUUUGCACAGAGUAGCAGCCUAAGAAAGCACCAAAAAAACGCACUCAGGUAAAAAUGCCGCUCUUGAAGUUCAUGGUUCGGGAUUUGCGUGCAGUAGCAACACUGAAACAACACAAGAGAACACAUUCAGGAACAAAACUGCGGGUGGUUGGAGGGUGUCACUGGUAGGGCCUGUGUCUUUAUUUCCCUUUGAUGGUUCUGUGUACAUAUGUAGAAAAAAGAAAAGGGAACGCAUUACUCCCAUGUUUAGAACAUUACAUUGACUUCCUGUGUCAACUAGAAUAUAAUAUGAAAUUACAAUAUUAUGCCACAUGUGUCAGUAACAAGGCUCACUCAUAUCUUAACUAAAUGAUCGCGGGAC
Molecule: long non-coding RNA, 2086 nt
Organism: Aplysia californica (California sea hare)
Lineage: Eukaryota; Metazoa; Mollusca; Gastropoda; Aplysiida; Aplysiidae
Exons: 2
Source: RefSeq, a predicted model, not a curated record